RNAcentral lists this long non-coding RNA (2314 nucleotides) under Fukomys damarensis (Damara mole-rat). Its description in RNAcentral is "lncRNA (ENSFDAG00000021615.1)". Lineage: Eukaryota; Metazoa; Chordata; Mammalia; Rodentia; Bathyergidae. The record is from RNAcentral.
GGAUAAUUGUAUCUGUUUUAAUAUAAUUAAUGCUGUUUAAACAUAAAUGGGUGCUGAGGGCCCAAAAGGAAAAAAAAGUGUUUUCCUGAGGAAAUUAAUGUAAAGUACGUUUUCAGCCUAUGAUAGUCCACCCUAAACGGCCUGAAUUGAGAAGCAAAUCAUCCGCAUUAAUGGGACUAUAUUAUACCUCGUCUGUGUGUCUCGUGUUUACUCCACUAGAAUAGGAGUCCUGUGAGGGUAAGUGACAUUGUUAUUUAGAACAGACCUUAAGGCUGAAGAUGUACCUCAGCGGCACAGUGACUGCCGGGCCCUGAGUUCAAUUCCUGGUACUGAAAACAAAACAAAAGAACAGAUCUCAGCACAAGAAGACAUGUUCUGGAAAAACAGAAACACAUAUACUUAAUGACUACGGCUGUAUUAAAGGUAUGAAAAUAAACAUUGGGAAGAAAAGCACAAAGAUGAUGAUGGUUACCAGAAAGUUGUGAUUAUAAUUUUUUUGCUAAAAUUUUCAAAUAUUUUUGAAAUGUUUUAUGUGUGUGUGUGUGUGUGAAAGUAAAAUCACAAGUGAAAAAGUAUCAUAUUGGAAGUCCAAACCUAGAUUCCAAUACUGACUGCUGUGUGACCUUGGGUAAGACUGAAUUUCUAGACUUUUCACAAAUGGAAACUCAGGGCUUCCUAGUUCCAGAAUUCUGAUUCUCCUUUCUGCCAACAUCAGUUGUUCCCCCUCCUUCCCUCUGUAGCUUCUAUUCUUUUUUAUUUAUUUUUUUUCCUUUUUUUUCUCUUUUUGAGACAGGGUCUCAUUACGUAGUUGAGACUGCCCUGGAACUCAGGAUGUAGCCCAGGCUGGUCUCGAACUCACAGCGAUCCUCCUGCCUCAGCCUCCCGAGUGCUGGGAUUACAGGCUUGUCCCAUCAUGCCCAGCUUCUGUAGCUUCCAUUCUUCACUCUGGGCCAGAAGGCUGACAUCAGAUCUAGGCCGUCCCGUCCAGAGCGCUCUGCGAAGUCCAGGAGCAGGGCUUUGGGAAGUGUUCUGUACCUGUACACGGGAGCUUUGCAGUUACCAGGCCUCGCCCACCCCCCAGCCAGCCUGCUUCGCACUGAAUCCCCUGCCUCAGUCCUCCGGUAGCGUAGCGGAUGGGUUUAGAGCUGCCAAGACCAGAAGGGCCCAUGGCGUACAAUGAAUAGUGUCUCCCACAGGGCAGAGUCCGGCCCCGGCCGCUGUGGGGGUCCUUCUGUCCCUCUGUUCUUUUGAGGGUGGCCACCUGGCCAGGUGGUGGACGGGAACUUUCCCUGGCUAGUGGGUGUUUGAUGCCGAAGGAUGACUGAUUCUGGGGAAGUGUGGCUGGGCACAGAAGGAAGAAAUGCCCAGACCUGCCCCGGGUGCUUUCUAAACUCCUGCAUUUGCAAGGAUUUUGUUAUCCACCUAGAAAACACAGGCAGACAACCAAAGCCCGGUGGACUAAGUUUUCUUUUCCUCCAGAAUUCAGAGUAUUUGCAAAGUCCCCCUGUCUAGGCCUGCUGUCCAUCUGAGUUCUCUUCCCUGGUACCCUGCGUGCUUUCUCUGGCAAAUCUCUCCCUGAUACAUGCGAUUCAAGCCACUUCACUUCCUGGAAAGGUGCAGUCCAAAGAAAAGAAGGACACCUCAGUAUCCCAGCCCAGCCUCCAUUCAGGGAAGGACCUGGCUAUGAGGCCUUGAAACUUAAUUCUCAUGUUUAUUUCUAGGGAAACCAAGCUAGAUAGACCAGAAAUGUAGGUUCUGUCAAGGCUGCUGCUUCACACGCAUCCAAGAGGCAAUGCUUACCCGGCUGUGAGGGCCCAUGCCUAAAGUCCCAGCACCUGGGAGGCUGAGGCAGGAGGAUCACCGCAAGUCUGAGGCCAGCCUGGUCUACACAGUAAGUUCAAGGCCAGCCUGAGCUACAAGCUGGGGUGGAGCUAGAGUCAAUCGCAUACUUUCACUGCGAUUGAAAUGUGCAAAGUCCCAUCUUAAUGACAGAGCUGUGCUCUUCAAGUCUUCUUACUGAAAAAUUUCCUUGGAACUAUGAAUAUAUCAUAUCCUGCCUCCAAAUAAUCACCUCCUUUUGUUUCUUUUUUUUUAACAUUUGAUAUUUGUUUUCUUGGGAUCUUGGUUUGGGGGAGUCUAUGAUAUUAAAAAUUUAAAUGUGUUCACCUACUAUAUCUACAUGGACAAAAACCCAAGUCAUAUUACAAUGUUUUUAACCAAAAGAAUAGCGUCCUUGCCUCUGAUUCCUACUGUCCAGAAAAAAUGAAAAACACUUUCUAAUCUUUUAGCUAUUUUUUUGAAUAUUGACCUAGCU